This 253-nucleotide ribosomal RNA is filed under the name uncultured bacterium. RNAcentral's name for it is "partial 16S ribosomal RNA". It matches the Rfam family "Bacterial small subunit ribosomal RNA", at positions 524 to 776 of the family's 1533-position model. The record is from RNAcentral.
UACGAAGGGGGCUAGCGUUGCUCGGAAUGACUGGGCGUAAAGGGCGCGUAGGCGGCGAUCAAGGUCAGAUGUGAAAUUCCUGGGCUUAACCUGGGGGCUGCAUUUGAUACGUGGUGGCUUGAGUGCGGAAGAGGGUCGUGGAAUUCCAGGUGUAGCGGUGAAAUGCGUAGAUAUCUGGAGGAACACCGGUGGCGAAGGCGGCAUCCUGGACCGGCACUGACGCUGAGGAGCGAAAGCCAGGGGAGCAAACGGG